CAUUGAUGGACACUUAGUAAGGAGGGGUGGGGCGGGUGAGUCGGCCUCGCCAGUGCGCAUGCGCGAGGCCCCAGCCGCCGCUUUGGUCACAGUGACCGCCACCGUUGCCGGGGGAUGGGUCCCUGAGACUUGGCGAAGUAGGAGCCCUGUGUGAUUGUGCGUCAGAGUCGGGGCUGACACCAGUCCUGGCCAGGGCACUUACCAGGACGGUCUCCGGAGGCCGGGAUUCGCGGAGGGUCCACCAGCAGUAAGAAACGCCAGGAGGAAGAAACCUCAGACAGAUCGCCGGGGAGGCAGCGCGGGAUCCCAGCCUCAGGCGUGCGCGGACGGUGUGCGGGUGAGUCUCCCCAAAAGUGGCGCCCUUGUGAUGUGGAGGACAGGUCUGCCAGGGUGUCCGUGGGCUGCUGUCUCACCGGUGGCUUCGUAGUCGCGGAGAGCAGAACCCGGCAGCUUCAGGGGCAGCCUGGGGGUGGGUGUUACCUGCUGUAUGUCUGUGUGCGUCUUGGUUGUGUGUGUGUGUGUGUGUGUGUGUGUUUGUGUGUGUGCGUGCGCGCGUCUGUGUGCCUUCUAUCUCUUACGUCUCUCUCUCUCUCUCCCC
RNAcentral lists this long non-coding RNA (598 nucleotides) under Homo sapiens (human). RNAcentral describes it as "HSALNT0322170". Lineage: Eukaryota; Metazoa; Chordata; Mammalia; Primates; Hominidae. The record is from RNAcentral.